GCUAGCUACAGGCUUAACACAUGCAAGUCGAGGGGCAGCAUGGUCUUAGCUUGCUAAGGCCGAUGGCGACCGGCGCACGGGUGAGUAACACGUAUCCAACCUGCCGUCUACUCUUGGACAGCCUUCUGAAAGGAAGAUUAAUACAAGAUGGCAUCAUGAGUCCGCAUGUUCACAUGAUUAAAGGUAUUCCGGUAGACGAUGGGGAUGCGUUCCAUUAGAUAGUAGGCGGGGUAACGGCCCACCUAGUCUUCGAUGGAUAGGGGUUCUGAGAGGAAGGUCCCCCACAUUGGAACUGAGACACGGUCCAAACUCCUACGGGAGGCAGCAGUGAGGAAUAUUGGUCAAUGGGCGAGAGCCUGAACCAGCCAAGUAGCGUGAAGGAUGACUGCCCUAUGGGUUGUAAACUUCUUUUAUAAAGGAAUAAAGUCGGGUAUGGAUACCCGUUUGCAUGUACUUUAUGAAUAAGGAUCGGCUAACUCCGUGCCAGCAGCCGCGGUAAUACGGAGGAUCCGAGCGUUAUCCGGAUUUAUUGGGUUUAAAGGGAGCGUAGAUGGAUGUUUAAGUCAGUUGUGAAAGUUUGCGGCUCAACCGUAAAAUUGCAGUUGAUACUGGAUAUCUUGAGUGCAGUUGAGGCAGGCGGAAUUCGUGGUGUAGCGGUGAAAUGCUUAGAUAUCACGAAGAACUCCGAUUGCGAAGGCAGCCUGCUAAGCUGCAACUGACAUUGAGGCUCGAAAGUGUGGGUAUCAAACAGGAUUAGAUACCCUGGUAGUCCACACGGUAAACGAUGAAUACUCGCUGUUUGCGAUAUACUGCAAGCGGCCAAGCGAAAGCGUUAAGUAUUCCACCUGGGGAGUACGCCGGCAACGGUGAAACUCAAAGGAAUUGACGGGGGCCCGCACAAGCGGAGGAACAUGUGGUUUAAUUCGAUGAUACGCGAGGAACCUUACCCGGGCUUAAAUUGCAGAUGAAUUACGGUGAAAGCCGUAAGCCGCAAGGCAUCUGUGAAGGUGCUGCAUGGUUGUCGUCAGCUCGUGCCGUGAGGUGUCGGCUUAAGUGCCAUAACGAGCGCAACCCUUGUUGUCAGUUACUAACAGGUUCCGCUGAGGACUCUGACAAGACUGCCAUCGUAAGAUGUGAGGAAGGUGGGGAUGACGUCAAAUCAGCACGGCCCUUACGUCCGGGGCUACACACGUGUUACAAUGGGGGGUACAGAGGGCCGCUACCACGCGAGUGGAUGCCAAUCCCCAAAACCUCUCUCAGUUCGGACUGGAGUCUGCAACCCGACUCCACGAAGCUGGAUUCGCUAGUAAUCGCGCAUCAGCCACGGCGCGGUGAAUACGUUCCCGGGCCUUGUACACACCGCCCGUCAAGCCAUGGGAGCCGGGGGUACCUGAAGUGCGUAACCGCGAGGAGCGCCCUAGGGUAAAACUGGUGACUGG
This 1439-nucleotide ribosomal RNA is filed under the name uncultured organism. RNAcentral describes it as "SSU rRNA". It matches the Rfam family "Bacterial small subunit ribosomal RNA". The record is from RNAcentral.